UCAUGGCUCAGUUGGUAAACAAUCUGCCUGCAAUGCAGGAGAUCCAGGUUCGAUUCCUGGGUCGGGAA
Molecule: transfer RNA, 68 nt
Filed under: Bos taurus (domestic cattle)
Lineage: Eukaryota; Metazoa; Chordata; Mammalia; Artiodactyla; Bovidae
Also listed under: 4 other names
Rfam family: tRNA
About the family: Transfer RNA (tRNA) molecules are approximately 80 nucleotides in length. Their secondary structure includes four short double-helical elements and three loops (D, anti-codon, and T loops).
Source: Rfam by way of RNAcentral